RNAcentral lists this ribosomal RNA (270 nucleotides) under Vibrio rotiferianus. Its description in RNAcentral is "partial 23S ribosomal RNA". It matches the Rfam family "Bacterial large subunit ribosomal RNA", at positions 2679 to 2925 of the family's 2925-position model. Lineage: Bacteria; Pseudomonadati; Pseudomonadota; Gammaproteobacteria; Vibrionales; Vibrionaceae. The record is from RNAcentral.
UAGUACGAGAGGACCGGAGUGGACGAACCUCUGGUGUUCGGGUUGUGUCGCCAGACGCAUUGCCCGGUAGCUAAGUUCGGAAUCGAUAACCGCUGAAAGCAUCUAAGCGGGAAGCGAGCCCUGAGAUGAGUCUUCCCUGAUACUUUAAGUAUCCUAAAGGGUUGUUCGAGACUAGAACGUUGAUAGGCAGGGUGUGUAAGCGUUGUGAGGCGUUGAGCUAACCUGUACUAAUUGCCCGUGAGGCUUAACCCUACAACACCCAAGGGGUUU